Molecule: ribosomal RNA, 497 nt
Filed under: uncultured bacterium
Lineage: Bacteria
Description: partial 16S ribosomal RNA
Rfam family: Bacterial small subunit ribosomal RNA
Source: RNAcentral
GAUGAACGCUGGCGGCGUGCCUAACACAUGCAAGUCGAGCGAACAGACGAGGAGCUUGCUUCUCUUACGUUAGCGGCGGAUGGGUGAGUCACACGUGGAUAACCUACCUAUAAGACUGGGAUAACUUCGGGAAACCGAAUCUAACACCGGUUAUUAUAUUGAACCGCAUGGUUCAUUAGUGAAAGCCGGUUUUGCUGUCACUUAUAGAUGGAUCCGCGCCGCAUUAGCUAGUUGGUAAGGUAACGGCUUACCAAGGCAACGAUGCGUAGCCGACCUGAGAGGGUGAUCGGCCACACUGGAACUGAGACACGGUCCAGACUCCUACGGGAGGCAGCAGUAGGGAAUAUUCCGCAAUGGGCGAAAGCCUGACGGAGCAACGCCGCGUGAGUGAUGAAGGUCUUCGGAUCGUAAAACUCUGUUAGUAGGGAAGAACAAAUGUGUAAGUAACUAUGCACGUCUUGACGGUACCUAAUCAGAAAGCAACGGCUAACUACGUG